GAUGAACGCUAGCUACAGGCUUAACACAUGCAAGUCGAGGGGCAGCAUGACCUAGCAAUAGGUUGAUGGCGACCGGCGCACGGGUGAGUAACACGUAUCCAACCUGCCGAUUAUUCCGGGAUAGCCUUUCGAAAGAAAGAUUAAUACUGGAUAGCAUAACGAGAAGGCAUCUUCUUGUUAUUAAAGAAUUUCGAUAAUCGAUGGGGAUGCGUUCCAUUAGUUUGUUGGCGGGGUAACGGCCCACCAAGACAUCGAUGGAUAGGGGUUCUGAGAGGAAGGUCCCCUACAUUGGAGCUGAGACACGGUCCAAACUCCUACGGGAGGCAGGAGUAAGGAAUAUUAGGCACUGGACGAGGGUCUGAACCAGCCAAGUAGCGUAAAGGAUGACUGCGCUAUGGGUUGUAAACUACUUUGAUAGGGGAAUAGAGUGGGCCACGUGUGGCUUUUUGUAUGUACCAUACGAAUAAGGAUCGGCUAACUCCGUG
RNAcentral lists this ribosomal RNA (485 nucleotides) under uncultured bacterium. Its description in RNAcentral is "partial 16S ribosomal RNA". It matches the Rfam family "Bacterial small subunit ribosomal RNA", at positions 28 to 507 of the family's 1533-position model. The record is from RNAcentral.